AGCGAACGCUGGCGGCAGGCCUAACACAUGCAAGUCGAACGAACCUUUCGGGGUUAGUGGCGGACGGGUGAGUAACACGUGGGAACGUGCCUUUAGGUUCGGAAUAACUCAGGGAAACUUGUGCUAAUACCGAAUGUGCCCUUCGGGGGAAAGAUUAAUCGCCUUUAGAGCGGCCCGCGUCUGAUUAGCUAGUUGGUUGAGGUAAUGGCUCACCAAGGCGACGAUCAGUAGCUGGUCUGAGAGGAUGAUCAGCCACAUUGGGACUGAGACACGGCCCAAACUCCUCCGGGAGGCAGCAGUGGGGAAUCUUGCGCAAUGGGCGAAAGCCUGACGCAGCCAUGCCGCGUGAAUGAUGAAGGUCUUAGGAUUGUAAAAUUCUUUCACCGGGGACGAUAAUGACGGUACCCGGAGAAGAAGCCCCGGCUAACUUCGUG
Molecule: ribosomal RNA, 434 nt
Filed under: uncultured bacterium
Lineage: Bacteria
Description: partial 16S ribosomal RNA
Rfam family: Bacterial small subunit ribosomal RNA
Source: RNAcentral